UACGGAGGGGGCCAGCGUUGUUCGGAAUCAUUGGGCGUAAAGGGCGCGUAGGCGGCCUGGUAAGUCGGGCGUGAAAUCCCGCGGCUCAACCGCGGAAUUGCGCUCGAAACUGCUUGGCUAGAGUCCCGGAGAGGGUAGCGGAAUUCCCAGUGUAGCGGUGAAAUGCGUAGAUAUUGGGAGGAACACCAGUGGCGAAGGCGGCUACCUGGACGGGAACUGACGUUGAGGCGCGAAAGCGUGGGUAGCAAACAGG
RNAcentral lists this ribosomal RNA (253 nucleotides) under uncultured bacterium. RNAcentral's name for it is "partial 16S ribosomal RNA". It matches the Rfam family "Bacterial small subunit ribosomal RNA", at positions 524 to 776 of the family's 1533-position model. The record is from RNAcentral.